CUAUUGUUUGGUGCAUUUGAUGCUAUUUUAAUCAGUAUUAAUUGGUUACUUUGAUACCAUCUCUUCCUAAACUGAUCUCAAGAACGUUCCUCUCUCAGGGCUUUCCAUGCAAGGGGUCACAGGAACACAUAUUUGCAAAAGUGUCACUGUCUUCAGAAAUUCAGAGUGAGUGGAAUGAAAUUCCAUUGAGGCCCUGGGCUCAGACUGAUUCCAUUCUCUCUCCUUCUAGACAGCAGUAUUAAGCAACUCAACCCUGAAGACAUGGAUGAAAUUGAAAAGAUUGAAUAUUGAAGACAGAACUCUAUUGCUUGUGAAAUAUCCUAGUUUAUGUGAGAAUGUCCCAGUGGGUUUCGAAGGUAGACAUCUUUGUGUGGGCCCUGGGAUGUUGCGGGACUUCAUUUCCAGGAUCUGAGCACACCGUGCCACCUGUGAACAUGUCAGGGUCCACGAGAUGGCAGUAGGACCUCACUGGUUUGGGAAUGUGAGCUAGCGGGACAGAGAAGCCGUCCAGCUCCAGGCCUCCCUCAGGGGCCUGCUCCGCCAUGCAGGCACAAGCACGCGCGCGCGCACACACACACACACACCCCUUAGGUGGGAGUGCAGGGUGAAACCUUCAAAAAGUAAAACAAAUUUGAAAGAGAACAUUUUGCUUUUUUAAAUGUUUCAGUUGACAUACAGAAUGUGAAAAUAUUUUCUCUGCUUGGUUUCUUAAUGUCUUCAAAAUAGAGCAAAUUUAAUCCAUCAUCAGCUA
Non-coding RNA from Leptonychotes weddellii (Weddell seal), 751 nucleotides. The record is from RefSeq and is a predicted model, not a curated record. NCBI's taxonomy places the organism in Eukaryota, Metazoa, Chordata, Mammalia, Carnivora, Phocidae.